RNAcentral lists this ribosomal RNA (274 nucleotides) under unidentified marine bacterioplankton. RNAcentral describes it as "partial 16S ribosomal RNA". It matches the Rfam family "Bacterial small subunit ribosomal RNA", at positions 37 to 339 of the family's 1533-position model. The record is from RNAcentral. RNAcentral also lists the same sequence under 1 other name.
UGGCGGCAGGCCUAACACAUGCAAGUCGAACGAACUCUUCGGAGUUAGUGGCGGACGGGUGAGUAACACGUGGGAACGUGCCUUUAGGUUCGGAAUAACUCAGGGAAACUUGUGCUAAUACCGAAUGUGCCCUUCGGGGGAAAGAUUUAUCGCCUUUAGAGCGGCCCGCGUCUGAUUAGCUAGUUGGUGAGGUAAUGGCUCACCAAGGCGACGAUCAGUAGCUGGUCUGAGAGGAUGAUCAGCCACAUUGGGACUGAGACACGGCCCAAACUCC